AUGGCUCAGUGAGGCCUUGGGAUUGGCCAGGGGAGAUGGGCAACCAUCACCCCAGGCCGAAAACUUGGUCAAACUUGGUCAUUUAGAGGAAGUAAAAGUCGUAACAAGGUUUCUGAUCCUUCCAAUGGUGAACGUCAUUCAGGAAGCCUUUGUCGCCUGAAAGGGUGUGCAUACCGCGACUCUAAACAAUGUAAGUAUGUCAAGGACAAGUCGGGGGUCUGUGAAGGCUCCCGGCGACGCUGUCAAAUUGCGGGGAGUCCCUUAGAGCUUUCACUACUAAGCGGUGUCCGAAAGGUCACCGUGGCCAGGGUAAUGCCCUCGGGUACAGUCACAACGUGGAAGAUUGGGUAACCUGCAGCCAAGUCCUGUCGCCUGGAGAGAGCGGUACAAAGCUUUCUACAGGCGUGGAUGCUGUUCACAGGCCAAAUGGUAGCGGGUUCGGCUGCGGCCGGGCUCAAGAUAUGGUCGGUCCUGCGAGGAAACUUGCGGGGAGUUCGCCGGGUUGUUGGGCUCUCGUUGCACGAGUGGCGCACAACCAGUAACAAGAAAACAAACGUUCCGUAGGUGAACCUGCGGAAGGAUCAUUACCGAGCUAGGGCCCCGACCGCCGGGGCCCGACCUCCCAACCCGGUGUCUAUCUAAACCUAUACGUGUUGCUUCGGUCGACCGGUGGACUCUCUCGCCUUUUGGCGGGGGGUGGUUCGCCGCCGGGGGAAAAAUACAUCAACUCCCCUGGAGAGCGUCGGCCGGUGGCCCAACCAAAAAGCUCUUAACCACAACCUUGAACUGAAUCUUUAUCGUCCCUCUGAUAGCUAUCAGAGCGUGAACAAAAACAAAAACAAAAACUUUCAACAACGGAUCUCUUGGUUCUGGCAUCGAUGAAGAACGCAGCGAAAUGCGAUAAGUAAUGCGAAUUGCAGAAUUUCCGUGAGUCAUCGAAUCUUUGAACGCACAUUGCGCCCUUUGGUAUUCCGAAGGGCAUGCCUGUUCGAGCGUCAUUAUCCUUCCCUCAAAUCCCGCCUUGGGAUUUGGUGUUGGACCGCGUUGGGGGGCGUAUUGUCCCGCCAACGGGUCUCAAAGGCAGUAACGGCGUCCGUUGGACCCUCCUCGCACUGAGCUUUUUUCGGAGCACGCCUGGAGUCGCAAGGUCCAAGGGGCACGGUCUUCUAUUUUUUUUUUUCUAGGUUGACCUCGGAUCAGGUAGGAAUACCCGCUGAACUUAAGCAUAUCAAUAAGCGGAGGAAAAGAAACCAACAGGGAUUGCCUCAGUAACGGCGAGUGAAGCGGCAACAGCUCAAAUUUGAAAUCUGGCCUUCACGGUCCGAGUUGUAAUUUGUAGAGGAUGUUUUGGGCACCGCCCCGGGUUAAAUUUCUUGGAACAGAAUGUCAAAGAGGGUGAGAGUCCCGUCUUGGCCCGCGGUAGGACCUGUGUAAAACUCCUUCGACGAGUCGACUUGUUUGGGAAUGCAGGUCAAAAUGGGUGGUAAAUUUCAUCUAAAGCUAAAUAUUGGCCAGAGACCGAUAGCGCACAAGUAGAGUGAUCGAAAGAUGAAAAGCACUUUGAAAAGAGAGUUAAACAGUAUGUGAAAUUGUUGAAAGGGAAGCGCUGGCAACCAGACUCGAGCGCGGUGUUCCCCCCGGCUUCUGCCUGGGUAUACUUCACCGUGACCGGGCCAUCAUCAGUUUUAGGGGUCGGUCAAAGGCCCGGGGAAUGUAUCCUCUCCUCCGGGGGAGGACUUAUAGCCCCGGGCGUCAUGCGGCCUCCCGAGACUGAGGAACGCGCUUCGGCGAGGAUGAUGGCGUAAUGGUUGUCAGCGACCCGUCUUGAAACACGGACCAAGGAGUCUAACAUCUAUGCGAGUGUUCGGGUGUCAAACCCCUGCGCGGAAUGAAAGUGAACGGAGGUAGGAAGGCCUAAGCCUGCACUAUCGACCGAUCCUGAUGUCUUCGGAUGGAUUUGAGUAAGAGCAUAGCUGUUGGGACCCGAAAGAUGGUGAACUAUGCGUGAAUAGGGUGAAGCCAGAGGAAACUCUGGUGGAGGCUCGCAGCGGUUCUGACGUGCAAAUCGAUCGUCAAAUUUGCGUAUAGGGGCGAAAGACUAAUCGAACCAU
Molecule: non-coding RNA, 2111 nt
Filed under: Chaetothyriales sp. MP-2014
Lineage: Eukaryota; Fungi; Ascomycota; Eurotiomycetes; Chaetothyriales
Description: eukaryotic LSU rRNA
Rfam family: Eukaryotic large subunit ribosomal RNA (bases 1187-2111)
Source: RNAcentral